Molecule: small RNA, 658 nt
Filed under: Pongo abelii (Sumatran orangutan)
Lineage: Eukaryota; Metazoa; Chordata; Mammalia; Primates; Hominidae
Description: processed transcript
Source: RNAcentral
UCUCUUUCCCUCGGCUCCUUCCAGUGAAGGUCAGAUUUGAGAGAAAGCAGUUAACUUGGCUUACCUAAGAGACUUUAUUGUGGAAUAUUUUUCCGUCCUCUGUGGCUGCCUGAUAGGGGCUGUAAAUCUCAAAUCCAGCAAUCGAACCCCAGUGGUACAGGAAUUUGAAAGUGUGGAACUGUCUUGCAUCAUUACGGAUUCGCAGACAAGUGACCCCAGGAUCGAGUGGAAGAAAAUUCAAGAUGAACAAACCACAUAUGUGUUUUUUGACAACAAAAUUCAGGGAGACUUGGCAGGUCGUGCAGAAAUACUGGGGAAGACAUCCCUGAAGAUCUGGAAUGUGACACGGAAAGACUCAGCCCUUUAUCGCUGUGAGGUCGUUGCUCGAAAUGACCGCAAGGAAAUUGAUGAGAUUGUGAUCGAGUUAACUGUGCAAGUGAAGCCAGUGACCCCCGUCUGUAGAGUGCCAAAGGCUGUACCAGUAGGCAAGAUGGCAACGCUGCACUGCCAGGAGAGUGAGGGCCACCCCCGGCCUCACUACAGCUGGUAUCGCAAUGAUGUGCCGCUGCCCACGGAUUCCAGAGCCAAUCCCAGAUUUCGCAAUUCUUCUUUCCACUUAAACUCUGAAACAGGCACUCUGGUAAGAUCUCUUCUAAGA